Molecule: long non-coding RNA, 1204 nt
Organism: Diprion similis
Lineage: Eukaryota; Metazoa; Arthropoda; Insecta; Hymenoptera; Diprionidae
Exons: 2
Source: RefSeq, a predicted model, not a curated record
UCUUCUUCGAUGUCUCCGACAGUUUACGAACAGGGAAUGCGCGCUGCUCUCUUCGGGUGUACCUACAUGGAAUUAUCCAGCAAAGAUGGCCGCCAUGCUUCAAUGCCGGCUCCGAUUGUGUGUGUAAUACCAACCACAGUAACCAUACCGACAGUGUUUUGAGGUGCAUCAGAGAUUCGUUCCUCGAUACUCUCCUGACAAAAUCCUUCACCGUCCGCGGAUAUUCUGCCCAAAUAUAAGCUGCAAAUACGAGGUGAAGGAAGAGCAGGCGAAGAGACGCGGAGUCUCCAUACGCGAGUGAAGGGUAGCGAAGCUUAGCGAAAUACAUAGAAACAUGGUAGGCCUGGGGGCGGCGAGGUGAGCUAAGCUCGUGAACCACCCUCGAUGCUUACCCUACGGCUGGUAUCCACUCAUUUCCUGAAGCAGCCAUAGGCAACGCCCUGCGCCUAUAGCCAAAGGGCCUAUGAUGUGCCGUGAAUGGGACAUGAACCCAAGCCUAGUCGAAUUAUACCUUGACAAUUGAUAUCUUUUUUCGCAUACGCAACAAAACGUGAGCAGACAAGUAUUACAAGAAAACACAAAGAAUAACAAACAAAACAAAUCAGCAUCGUUAUCGAUAGUAAAGACAUUAUUUUUUGCUUUUUCUCAAAACCCUUCGGCGAAGCCAAAAACCUUGGCAUUCAAGGCCCAUUGGGCCAGUUUCACCGCUAAAUUUAUUCGCGCGUAUAAUUUUUCUGUCGAUUUGCAAUUUCGUUCAACAAAUCGCACCACCAACGAAACUUUUCUUAUUUUCAUUAUCGCACCGAUAUGAUGCAGGAUUCCCGAGUGAACGGGAGUUUCUCGUAAGUUACGAAAUUUCCGGUAUAACCUCGUAACGUGACUAUUUAUACGGCAACAUCCGAAGAGGGUUUACGGAAGCAGAAGUAGUGAAUCUCCGGUCCAAAAGUUUAUCUAUUUUCUUCGUUCACUCAUUUUUUUCCAUAUAUCUCAAGCACUUGAUAUCGUUCAACAGUUUCUCUUCCGCUUCUCGCGCCACGUCUCAACCUAUAAUAAUAAAAAAUACUGUUUCGCUUGCGGAUCAACGCCCUCGGGACUGUGGUUAUAAAUAUAAUUUGUGAAAGAAUUUACUUCGCAGCCUCUGGCAGGUAACUCUCGGACAUCGACUCGCGGUUUUUGACGAUUCGAUUCUUAAAAUUUCGAGUAA